This is a long non-coding RNA of Octopus sinensis (East Asian common octopus), 720 nucleotides long. RefSeq lists it as uncharacterized. The transcript has 5 exons. The record is from RefSeq and is a predicted model, not a curated record. Lineage: Eukaryota; Metazoa; Mollusca; Cephalopoda; Octopoda; Octopodidae.
AUUUCAGUGUGUCCAAAGUCUGAAGAAGAAGCAGCCCAGGCAGUUGCAGAGUCUGUUGUGUGUCCAAAGUCUGAAGAGAAAGCAGUCCAGACGGUUGCAGAAUCUUUUGUGUGUCCAAAGUCUGAGAGAAAGCAGUCCAGACGGUUGCAGAAUCUUUUGAUUCUGUAACGGUAGAGGAGAUUCAUCUUCAUAGGGUGUCCCAAAAGUUGGCAGGUAAAUGGCAGGAACUUGGAAGGGAAUUAGGAAUUAAACAACAUGACCUGGACAUCAUCAAGCUUGACCAUUCUCAUAGCGUUAGGGAACAAAGUUUCCAGAUGCUUCUGACAUGGUUUCAAAGUUGUGAUCCGGCAAAACGUACACUUCAAAUAUUAAAAGAAGCUCUUGAAAGAACUGAAUGUUUUAUUGCAAUUGAAUGUUUAUCAUCAGAAUUCAAUCGAAUUUCUUUGUAAAUUGUUGCUGUUGCUUAGUCCCACAUCUAUCUUCACCACAGACCUAUUAUCAAAUGCCUUCCAUUCAAGACCAUCCUGUCUUUUCCCUAAGUAUAGAGAACAGAACCACAUUGUUAAAUGUGUCCUUCUUUAAGGUGAUAGGUUUUGAAUGGAGUAGGAUUUGGUUACUAAUUCUAGCAGAUCUAUCUACCACAUGCAGACCCCUUUAUUGGUUUGGCUCCCUCGUUGUUCGAGAUUAACUGUGGAAAUAAAGACAAACUUUGAAAUUUCA